Long non-coding RNA from Vidua macroura (Pin-tailed whydah), 621 nucleotides. RefSeq lists it as uncharacterized. The transcript has 5 exons. Lineage: Eukaryota; Metazoa; Chordata; Aves; Passeriformes; Viduidae. The record is from RefSeq and is a predicted model, not a curated record.
CAGGACAAGGACAAGAGAGGCAGAAGGUGAAGGAAGGGCUGAUGUGAAGAGAGAUCCAAGCAUCGCUUCCUGAUCAGACUAAGACUUGGGCCUUGAGAGACUUGGACCUUCUGCAAGGCCAGGAGGAGCACGGGGCAGCUCUGUGCUGCAGGAAACCUCUUUGCAAGGAGAGGUUGAGCUGAAGAACAAAUUCAUUGGCAAACCAGAGGACUGUGACCCUCCUCCUGGAACAUCUCAGUACUUGAAGGAAAGGUCACUCAGGAAAUCUUAACAGGCUCUGUGACGGGCACGAAAGAGAAGAAAUCUUUGGAAGCUUCACCUGUGGUCUGAAAGCCAGAGCUCUGCCUUUCCUGCUUUCUGCCUCAUUGGUCCUGAAGAUUUUGCAGGGAGAGCUGAGUUGAUGCCAGUGCUGCUGCCUGAGUUGAAGAGCACCUCUGAGGCUGCUCUUGGGUCAGUUCACUCUGCCCAGCCCCAAGUUCACUGCUGUGUGCAAAGGUUCAGAUGUUCUUUCCUCCCUGCUCCACGGAGAUCCUCUUCACAGCAGGAAGCCUGACCAGGGCAAGGAAACCCUUCCAGCUGGUCAGGCCCCAGACACUUCCAAAACUCUGAGAAUCUCUCUCU